This 28-nucleotide transfer RNA is filed under the name Fabaceae sp. ITV3719. Its description in RNAcentral is "partial tRNA-His". The record is from RNAcentral. Lineage: Eukaryota; Viridiplantae; Streptophyta; Magnoliopsida; Fabales; Fabaceae.
CCUUGAUCCACUUGGCUACAUCCGCCCU